Molecule: regulatory RNA element, 131 nt
Organism: Nocardiopsis flavescens
Lineage: Bacteria; Bacillati; Actinomycetota; Actinomycetes; Streptosporangiales; Nocardiopsidaceae
Rfam family: FMN riboswitch aptamer (RFN element)
About the family: The RFN element is a highly conserved domain that is found frequently in the 5'-untranslated regions of prokaryotic mRNAs that encode for flavin mononucleotide (FMN) biosynthesis and transport proteins. This element is a metabolite-dependent riboswitch that directly binds FMN in the absence of proteins.
Source: Rfam
AUGCGUGCUCCGGGGUCGGUGAAAGUCCGAACCGGCGGUGACAGUCCGCGACCCGGCCGAGUCCAUCGGCCGGUUGAACCGGUGGAAUUCCGGUACCGACGGUGAAAGUCCGGAUGGGAGGCAGCACGCGU